AUCGUUUCUCCGCCUUUUGGCUAAGAUCAAGUGUAGUAUCUGUUCUUAUAGGAAGUUCAGGAGGGACCCUUUUGGGGCUUCUUCUUUCUCCUACAGAUAUGCACUGAGCAGGGGGUUCCUGAGCCCAGCCUCACUGAUCUGCAUAGGCUGUAAUCCCACAGGUGGAGGUUGGUCCUGCCUGCCUGUA
This is a small nuclear RNA of Pteronotus mesoamericanus, 187 nucleotides long. RefSeq annotates it as U2 spliceosomal RNA. The transcript has a single exon. NCBI's taxonomy places the organism in Eukaryota, Metazoa, Chordata, Mammalia, Chiroptera, Mormoopidae. The record is from RefSeq and is a predicted model, not a curated record.